CCUACGGGAGGCAGCAGUGGGGAAUAUUGCUCAAUGGGCGCAAGCCUGAACCAGCAACGCCGCGUGGAGGAAGAAGGCUUUCGGAUUGUAAACUCCUUUUGUCAGAGACGAUACUGACGGUAUUUAACGAAUAAGCACCGGCUAACGCCGAGCCAGCAGCCGCGGUACUACGGGGGGUGCCAGCGUUACUCGGAAUCACUGGGCGUAAAGGGCGCUUAGGCGGGAUAGGAAGUCAGAUGUGAAAUCCUAGGGCUUAAACAUAGAACUGCCAUUGAAACUGGUGUUCUUGAGUAGAGGAGAGGUAGGCGGAAUGCGUGGUGUAGCGGUAAAAUGCGUAGAGAUAAAGAGGAACACUGAUUGCGAAGGCGGCCUGCUAGAAUAUAACUGACGCUGAUGCACGAAAGCGUGGGGAGCGAACAGGAUUAGAUACCCGAGUAGUC
This 440-nucleotide ribosomal RNA is filed under the name uncultured bacterium. RNAcentral describes it as "partial 16S ribosomal RNA". It matches the Rfam family "Bacterial small subunit ribosomal RNA", at positions 338 to 795 of the family's 1533-position model. The record is from RNAcentral.